This 3156-nucleotide long non-coding RNA is filed under the name Salmo salar (Atlantic salmon). RNAcentral describes it as "lncRNA (ENSSSAG00000099664.1)". The record is from RNAcentral. Lineage: Eukaryota; Metazoa; Chordata; Actinopteri; Salmoniformes; Salmonidae.
CUUCCUUAUGCUUGACCUGUGUCUGUCCACUGUUAGAAACACCAGACUAUUAGCUGUCAUUCCAACAAAACAUCAAACAACAAUUCCAGUUGAAUAUGUUGAGGUCAAUGCCAUAUAUUCCCCAUGAUGCAACAUGUUUUAUUUCAGAACAGUUAAAUACUCAAGUAGUUGGUGAAAGUAAUAAGCCACAACGUUUAGAGAUUCAAAAGAAAAUACAAAGUUGAUGAAAUAAGGCGCUUUGUAGGUGUUUCACUUUUUUGUAAUACAGGAAGGCCUUAAUACAUGUUCAACCUUUCAUAAGAUCAGUUAUUAUCACACCUCUCAAACCCACUGUCCGAGCCUUUCUACAAAACCUUUGUGCAACACACUGGAGAAAAAGCGAAUGCAUGUUUCAAGUUGACCUUAUUCAUUUAGUUAGCUACCUUUCACAGUGAGCCAAACUGGAGCUGAACAAUGUUGUAGUAACAGACAUCUGAAAGGUACAUGUUUAAAGCUUUUUAAGGAGCACCCUGUGGAGCCCCACCAUUAGGCACAGUCACUGCCAUGCAGUCAGUCUCUACAGGGAAACAGUCACUGCCAUGCAGUCAGUCUCUACAGAGAAACAGUCACUGCCAUGCAGUCACUCUCUACAGAGAAACAGUCACUGCCAUGCAGUCAGUCUCUACAGAGAAACAGUCACUGCCAUGCAGUCAGUCUCUACAGAGAAACAGUCACUGCCAUGCAGUCAGUCUCUACAGAGAAACAGUCACUGCCAUGCAGUCAGUCUCUACAGAGAAACAGUCACUGCCAUGCAGUCAGUCUCUACAGAGAAACAGUCACUGCCAUGCAGUCAGUCUCUACAGAGAAACAGUCACUGCCAUGCAGUCAGUCUCUCUACAGAGAAACAGUCGCUGCCAUGCAGUCAGUCUCUACAGAGAAACAGUCACUGCCAUGCAGUCAGUCUCUCUACAGAGAAACAGUCAGUCACACAGAGUCUCGCUGGUGUAUUGAACCGGGCAUCACUGAGACCUCAAUAUGGCUAUUCUACCCUCUGGAUAUCCCAGAGGUCAAAGUGCAUAGACAGCUACAUGAUGUCUCUCUAACUCACCUGGCUGUAGAGCUGCUUGGCUCACUGCUACUAAAGGAUGUAGUCAUAGUUACUACUAGUCCUGCUAAAGUAUCAACAUGUUCAGGGAAAAGUGGAGUUUCUCCCAGACACUGAGCUACGGUCUGUUUAGAGUCCCCCUCCACUAAUGGUUUAGGUUUGGAUAUGGGGAGUGUAAGCUGAUCCUAGAUCAGUGCUAACUAAGGGGUGACUUGAGCAAGCGUGACAGAGUUGUGGUCAAAACUAAAGUGAAUAUUGAGCUUUCCUACUGGUUAGGGCUGUUGGAAGAUGUGUUGAUGGAGAACACACACACACACACACACACACACACACACACACACACACACACACACACACACACACACACACACACACACACACACACACACACACACACACACACACGUCAGCCUGUCUGUGGGAGAGCUGGGUUGGAGAGGUCAGAGGUUAGACAGAAGGUCAUCUUAUUCCUCCCUGGUCAGUCAGCCAGCUGGUUUUGCCCUUACAGACUAAACUCCCUAACAAUACACUGGUCCUCUGUAGGUCAGUUGGUAGAGCAUGACACUUGCAACAACAGGAUAGUGGGUUUGACUCCCGUGACCAUCCACACAUAAAGAAUGCAUACAUCACUUCGUGGUUUGAAUAAAAGCCUCUGCUAAAUGGCAUGAAAACACACCAACAGCAGACACAGUGUCCAUCAGCGCUACACUCACUGAGACUGGGGGAAACAAUGACUUAUAAAGGCUUGUUAGCUCAAUGGAAAAGUUCAUGAUGAUUAAAAGGUAUUUGAAACAAUUGACAUUCCAUUUAGUAAUAAAAAAAAAGACAGAGAAGUUCAGGCACGUUGUGAUGUUUUGGAAAGCAUUCGGCUAAAACUGCUGAGCCUCGUUAGAGAUGGUAGUAAGACCUUUUCAUUAUAAAGGGAUAGAAACUCAGCCAAUCGUUCUUUAACUGUCAAACACAGACUGACAAUCAGACUACAAAAGCAUGGAAUCAAUCAACUCUCUCACCUCAUAUCUCUCUCUAUAUGUCGCCUACAGUAUGACAACCCCACCUGGGAUAUUGAGGCAGACAGAGGACAACGCCAGGCUCAUAUCUGGAAUGUUCAGGUCAUUUGGAAUGUGCCGCUAAUUCUGGAAGCCUGGCUGCAGCAACACUAGAACUACACUAAAGGAGAUGUCUCUUAAAGCUUUACUUGGUCCUGGAGAGUGGAGGGGUCAGGGGUCAGCCUCCAGGAGAGUGGAGGAGAGAGGGGUCAGCCUCCAGGAGAGUGGAGGAGACAGGGGUCAGCCUCCAGGAGAUUGGAGGAGACAGGGGUCAGCCUCCAGGAGAGUGGAGGAGACAGGGGUCAGCCUCCAGGAGAUUGGAGGAGACAGGGCUCAGCCUCCAGGAGAGUGGAGGAGACAGGGGUCAGGAGUCAGCCUCCAGGAGAGUGGAGGAGACAGGGGUCAGGAGUCAGCCUCCAGGAGAGUGGAGGAGACAGGGGUCAGGAGUCAGCCUCCAGGAGAGUGGAGGAGACGGGGGUCAGGAGUUAGCCAUCCAGGAGAGUGGAGGGGUCAGGGGUCAGCCUCCAGGAGAGUGCAGGAGACAGGGGUAAGCCUUCAGAAGAGUGGAGGAGACAGGGUUCAGGGGUCAGCCUCCAGGAGAGUGGAGGAGACAGGGGUCAGCCUCCAGGAGAGUGGAGGAGACAGGGGUCAGCCUCCAGGAGAGUGGAGGAGACAGGGGUCAGCCUCCAGGAGAGUGGAGGAGACAGGGGUAAGCCUCCAGGAGAGUGGAGGAGACAGGGGUCAGCCUCCAAGAGAGUGCAGGAGACAGGGGUAAGCCUCCAGAAGAGUGGAGACAGGGGUCAGGGGUCAGCCUCCAGGAGAGUGGAGGAGACAGGGGUCAGGGGACAGCCUCCAGAGCUGCCUCGGCUAGCUGGUGUCACAGUGCAGGGUAAUAUGGCUGAUAGAACAACAAUACUAGGAUGUAUUGCUUCAAUUUGAACAUAUUCUCAACACCGUUCAAUCUUUCAUUACAUGUAACGCCCUCUAAAUAGCAUCGAUGGGUUGCUAGGGUAACAGUCAUGGUCC